AACGAACGCUGGCGGCAUGCCUAACACAUGCAAGUCGAACGAGACCUUCGGGUCUAGUGGCGCACGGGUGCGUAACGCGUGGGAACCUGCCCUUAGGUUCGGAAUAACUCCCCGAAAGGGGUGCUAAUACCGGAUAAUGUCUUCGGACCAAAGAUUUAUCGCCUUUGGAUGGGCCCGCGUUGGAUUAGCUAGUUGGUAGGGUAAAAGCCUACCAAGGCGACGAUCCAUAGCUGGUCUGAGAGGAUGAUCAGCCACACUGGGACUGAGACACGGCCCAGACUCCUACGGGAGGCAGCAGUGGGGAAUAUUGGACAAUGGGCGAAAGCCUGAUCCAGCAAUGACGCGUGAGUGAUGAAGGCCUUAGGGUUGUAAAGCUCUUUUACCCGGGAUGAUAAUGACAGUACCGGGAGAAUAAGCUCCGGCUAACUCCGUG
Molecule: ribosomal RNA, 433 nt
Filed under: uncultured bacterium
Lineage: Bacteria
Description: partial 16S ribosomal RNA
Rfam family: Bacterial small subunit ribosomal RNA
Source: RNAcentral